UACAGAGGUCCCGAGCGUUAGGCGGAAUCACUGGGCUUAAAGCGUGUGUAGGCGGAUUUGUAAGUACCUUGUGAAAUCCCACGGCUUAACCGUGGAACGGCUGGGUAUACUGCGAAUCUUGGGCCAUCUAGGGGCUAGCGGAACAAACGGUGGAGCGGUGAAAUGCGUAGAUAUCGUUUGGAACGCCAAUGGUGAAAACAGCUAGCUGGGGAUGUGCCGACGCUGAGACACGAAAGCCAGGGGAGCAAACGGG
Molecule: ribosomal RNA, 253 nt
Filed under: uncultured bacterium
Lineage: Bacteria
Description: partial 16S ribosomal RNA
Rfam family: Bacterial small subunit ribosomal RNA
Source: RNAcentral